Long non-coding RNA from Patiria miniata (bat star), 193 nucleotides. RefSeq lists it as uncharacterized. The record is from RefSeq and is a predicted model, not a curated record. The transcript is spliced from 2 exons. NCBI's taxonomy places the organism in Eukaryota, Metazoa, Echinodermata, Asteroidea, Valvatida, Asterinidae.
GCAUCUGCUCAUCAACUUCCUUCAUGGACAUGCGGCCACGGAACAUAGCUGCAACGGUCAAGUAGCGGCCAUGACGAGGGUCGCAAGCAGCCAUCAUGUUCUUGGCAUCGAACAUCUGCUGGGUCAGCUCGGGAACGGUUAGGGCACGGUACUGCUGGCUGCCUCUGCUGGUCAGGGGAGCAAAGCCAGGCAU